UUGUCCCUACGGGGCGCAGCAGUGGGGGAUAUUGCACAAUGGGGGGAACCCUGAUGCAGCGACGCCGCGUGGGUGAAGAAGCGCCUCGGCGCGUAAAGCCCUGUCAGCAGGGAAGAAAAUGACGGUACCUGAAGAAGAAGCCCCGGCUAACUACGUGCCAGCAGCCGCGGUAAUACGUAGGGGGCAAGCGUUAUCCGGAUUUACUGGGCGUAAAGGGGGCGCAGACGGCGUUGAAAGCAAGGAGUGAAAGCCCGGGGCC
Molecule: ribosomal RNA, 259 nt
Filed under: uncultured bacterium
Lineage: Bacteria
Description: partial 16S ribosomal RNA
Rfam family: Bacterial small subunit ribosomal RNA
Source: RNAcentral